GGUUGGAAUAAUUAGCGGGGAAAGAAGACCCUGUUGAGCUUGACUCUAGUCUGGCAGUGUAAGGAGACAUAAGAGGUNUUGCAUAAGUGGGAGAUAUAUAGUUUCGGCUAUAUGUCAACAAUGAAAUACCACUACUCUUAUUGUUUCCUUACUUACUUGAUAAAAUGGAACGUGUAUCAUUUACUUAGCCAUUAUACGGAUAUAUUUAUAUAUUUUAUGGUAUUUUGUUUUGAUGCAAGCUUCUUGAUCAAAGUACCAAGAGUUUGUUAUAUAAACCAAACAAAUUCUGAUGAAAUUUUAUGUAUUUUCUAUUAUAGAGGAUACAUUAUUAGAGUAGUUGAAUUUGGUAUGACUCUUACACUCAGGUAUGAUCCAAUUCAAGGACAUUGCCAGGUGGGGAGUUUGACUGGGGCGGUACAUCUCUCAAAUAAUAACGGAGGUGUCCCAAGGCCAGCUCAGUGCGGCAGAAACCACACAUAGAGCAAAAGGGCAAAUGCUGCUUGAUCUCGGGUUCAGUCACACAGAGACAGCAAAAGCUCGGCCUAUCGUCCUUUUGGUUUAAAGAGUUUUUAACAAGAGGUGCAGAAAAGUACCCCANGGAUAACUGGCUUGAGCGCCAACCGUUCAUA
Molecule: ribosomal RNA, 629 nt
Filed under: Neosardus principius
Lineage: Eukaryota; Metazoa; Arthropoda; Insecta; Diptera; Bombyliidae
Description: eukaryotic LSU rRNA
Rfam family: Eukaryotic large subunit ribosomal RNA
Source: RNAcentral